RNAcentral lists this ribosomal RNA (440 nucleotides) under uncultured marine bacterium. RNAcentral describes it as "bacterial SSU rRNA". It matches the Rfam family "Bacterial small subunit ribosomal RNA", at positions 8 to 493 of the family's 1533-position model. The record is from RNAcentral.
AGGGUUUGAUUCUGGCUCAGAACGUACGCUGGCGGCACGCCUAACACAUGCAAGUCGAACGAAGUAGCAAUACUUAGUGGCAGACGGGUGAGUAACAUGUGGGUAUCUGCCCUUUGGCCUGGAAUAACACGAGGAAACUUGUGCUAAUACUGGAUAAGUCUUUACGGAGAAAGCUUUAUGCACCAAUGGAUGAGCCCGCACUUGAUUAGUUUGUUGGUAGGGUAAUGGCCUACCAAGACUGUGAUCAAUAGCUGAUUUGAGAGGAUGAUCAGCCACAUUGGGACUGAGACACGGCCCAAACUCCUACGGGAGGCAGCAGUGGGGAAUCUUGCACAAUGGAGGAAACUCUGAUGCAGCGGUGCCGCGUGAGUGAAGAAGGCCUUUGGGUUGUAAAGCUCUUUCGUCGGGGAAGAAAAUGACUGUACCCGAAUAAGAAGUCC